Molecule: long non-coding RNA, 3319 nt
Organism: Varroa destructor (honeybee mite)
Lineage: Eukaryota; Metazoa; Arthropoda; Arachnida; Mesostigmata; Varroidae
Source: RefSeq, a predicted model, not a curated record
GGAAGCGAACUACGAGCGGAGUGAAAGGGCGCGAGAGGGGCUCUACGAAUCGGAAACAACAUAAAUUAAAAAAAGCAGUUGAACGAAAAAUUUGGAAUGACGCUAUAUUUUUGCCGUGAAAGGGCUAAACCUCAGAGUCUCGUUACCAAUCACGGCCUGCCGCUGUCAACAGAUGCCACGUGUUAAUACAUGAUUCAAAAGAUCCAACUAAGUGUUACAUGCUUGUUGUUCACAGCGUUACGAUGCCGUUUCUAACGGUGGUGAUGCACUCUCGAUGCGAAUCCAACGCUCGGUGCAACAUUGCUUGUGAUAUAAUCGUCAGCAUGCAUAUACAUAUUCUUACUGCCGGCUUUCGCCUAUCGCAUUCGGCAGGGUAACAAAUCCAGUCUAUUGCCUCCCGGUCCUAAUGGCUGACGAUCAGCGACGAAGAGACGAAACCAAAAAAAAACUACUCUAUCAACGCUGCGUCAGCCGCCAGACAACCAGUCAGCUUCAGUAAUGACAGCGAUAACGACAAUUAGAACAAUAGCAACCACCAAAAACCCUAAAGCUCAAAUGGCUUCAUCUUGGCGUAAAUCGGCCGGCCCGUAUUCUGACUGCGUGAUGCCCGUUUCGUCAGUGCCAUUAGUGCUUGCGCACCUUGUAUAGCAUCAACAUCGAUAGCAGCAGCAGCAGCGGCAAUAACAAUAACGACAACGACCUUAUAAAAAUAAUCAUUAAUAGUUACAGGCAAAAACUGCAGAGCGGGCCGGCCAUGGCCUCACGCUACCGCUGGCCAAUACUGCUAUGACAGGAACAGCAAACUCUCAUGGAGACGAAGCCAGCGAUCACUUGCAGAAAAGAAAAACCAGGGAACAACAUGAUUGUUCACAUGAUGGAAGCUGACGAUAUCCGAACGAAGAGAUAAACAAGUUGAUAAAGAAAAGAGAAAUGGCUACAGGAUUAAAUGUUCAGACAUGCCCCAUUAACAUUAUGCUAAAAUGGACGGUGCUGGAGCAGUCAGUCCAUCAGAAGCAAGUAAUACAAAAAAUAAUAACGGUAGUAAUGAGCGUCUAUAAAAAUUAAUGCCUUUUUGAAUUCACCUGCCUCUUGCGCAUCAUGCAUGCAUACAACUUACAUGAGUGCACGAUAUUCUUCGCACUAGCAAUCCAAAUGUAAAUUGUUUGACUAUUUAUUUCUAGGCACCGUAUGCUGGAAUACAAUUUUCUACAACCAACAGUUUGUGAAAACAGACUGCCGCCCUUCGCGAAAGACACUUUAGGGCAGUAUUAAGUAGCUGAGUAAACUAGAUUGUUCUGAAAAACAUGUCCGAAACGAGCACGUAAGAAUAAGAGCAUAUCCAUCUGAAGAUCUCAAGCAACUAAUACGAUGAAUAUUGUUCAGAAAUACAGUUCAAUUUUCUGUGUUUUCAGGAACAUUGUCGUGGUUAAUCUACCAGAAAGAACAUUAACAUUUUCAUGUUUGCUGCUUAAAUAUGUCCACUUGUUGCUCAGUCAAUUGAUCAAGCUAAAUUUAAGAAUAGAAGCAAAAAUGAUCCCCAAAUACGUGUACACCAAAUUGAAAUAAGCAGGCGACUGCAGAGAAAAUACACAAUGUAUGCGUUGCUUAGCUUUCGCUUGGUGAAUGAUGCUAUAUCGUUUUUGAUUUAUUUGAAAACGCAAAUAUAGCCAUUAAUUUUUAAGGAGCCAGUUUUGCGCGUUCUUAAUUUAAUAGCACAAUCAAACUUACAAUGAAAACCAUCGACAUAGCGGUUAGCUAGAGUUCCUAAGAGAUAGAAACACUAAAUUUUUCUUUGUUACUAUUUUCACUCUUAUAUCGGCAAUAAACGUGUAGAAUAACAGCAAAAAGAGAAAUGAUUAGGCCCCAUAAGAAAAUAAAGCUACGUAUACGUUAUAUAUAAUGUAACCAUAUCGCGGUAGAGUAGAUCAAUGUAACGCUAAGAAUGUUUUUAACUUUAAUAAUCUUACGAGUGAAUGUAUCAAGUGCAGACACCUCUUCAACAGGCCAUAAUGCCUGAUACGUCGUUAUAGAUUUGUUAUUAAGCCUUUUAUAAUCAUCUAGGUUUACGUUUGCAAUUAUAAAUAACUGUAAUGUGUAUCUUUGUUUUAUGUCGUUGGCAGGGCUCGAAUCAGCAACUCCUGGCUUUUUCAACGCUUAAGAAUAAUUUGAGUCUGAUUAUGUUACGUUCAACACCGGUUUUGUGUAAAUGUGAUAAGAAUGAAAAGGGAAAACAAAGUUAACUAGUUUAAAACGCAACUUGAGUUUGUGCAUAUCUCGAGUUUUCUUUUUAUCAUUGAUUAAAUCAACCGUACACUCGUAAACGAUACGUUCAAGUGUCUGAGGUUCAGCCGAUAUCUGCACCCAACGCAAACGAUUUGUAUUGUUAUGUGAAGUACACAUCGUGUCAAUCAGCCCCUCAUAUUUGCAGUCGAAAUACGCCUUCUAAUUCAAUCGGUUUGGACCUAUACUGAACAGAAAGGAUAAAAAAGAAAAAGGUGAAAAAUGUCCUGCUUUAUCAAUUAGCUAUCGCAGAGCUUAGUACGAUAAAAGGAAAAAAAAAAGAGAAAUAGAAGUCUAUUCCUCGUUUUUGAUCAUAACGUUUUUAAGAAGCUUUUACACUUCCUGAAUUCAGUAAAAGUAAAAGAAAGGGGAAGAACUGUAGAAACGAUAACCAUUGGACCUCCAAAGCGUGAAUUUACCUAAACUAUUAUUCAUUGAUACGUGUUCACAUGACUAGGAUAUGUUCGCCAUAGCCAGUCUCGUUUGCGGAUGAUGGGCAAUCGUUAAUUCUUUCCCCAGGUUUCUCUAGAAUGUAGCGCAUUUUUUUUGUAGCAAUUCCUAUAGUAUGGCCGCACUUAUAACGAGAAUAGUAAUAUUAAUACGCGCGCAUAAUCUGACGGAACACUACUAAAAGUUUAACUUAAGAGCGUUAGUCAACUAAUAACAGAUCAUUUUUAAGUAGUAACAGCUACAGUCAGUUUAUAGCAUAUUGUCGUUUCAGCAGAGAAAGACGUAAACCUAAGGAAUUCAUCAAGAAAUUUUGGACAGAAACAAAUUACGGUGUACGUGCUACCUUAACAGAUUCACAUUAUGACACCACGUUAAACAUAACAUCUAUCAGGCUGACGAUGCUAGUUUUGCUAUUUGGAACGAUAUAAACGCAAAGUAUAAUACAUAUUAGGUACACUCGCAGUUCUUUUGUUGAAGAUCUUAAGGAUUUUUUUUUUGCAUUUUUGGGUAUGUGUACUGCAUUAUCUCGCUCAUCUGUUUCGGCAGUACUACAAUGGAGUAUCAAAGGACGCCAACAGUUGUAAAUAAU